This 221-nucleotide unclassified non-coding RNA is filed under the name Hevea brasiliensis (rubber tree). The record is from RNAcentral. Lineage: Eukaryota; Viridiplantae; Streptophyta; Magnoliopsida; Malpighiales; Euphorbiaceae.
UGAAUGAAGUAGCGCUGCUGCUCGGAGCUGUCUGCCAAUUCAAUUUUACGAUCGUCGACUGAUAUCGUGCCCGAAUCCAACUGCGCGAUUUCUGCGAGCUCUUUUACUUGGGCUAAUUCCGUGCCGUAGCGCAUCGUGAAAUUUGCUGGGCAGGACAGAUAUCGCAGAUUUCCCUUAUGCCAUAAUGUCCGUUGUAAUCCACCGACACGUGAGCGAAGGCU